This 5368-nucleotide unclassified non-coding RNA is filed under the name Hevea brasiliensis (rubber tree). Lineage: Eukaryota; Viridiplantae; Streptophyta; Magnoliopsida; Malpighiales; Euphorbiaceae. The record is from RNAcentral.
GAAUUUUCUUUAUGGUAAAUCACAUUCAUAUCACUUUGAAAUGUUAAUUACAAGGGUUGAUUGCGUAUGCAUCUGUAACAACAAUAAAACAAAUAUGAUAAAGGCAGCCCGAUUUCAAGACUACAAAACUUCCUGAAUCAAAGAGUGAACUCUCACUAAGAGGUUUAGUCAAGAAAAUGAUGCAAGCAUGUGCAAACUCACAUACGCAUUUUGCUUCACGAAAUUGACAUACCCAUUUGUGAACGCAUGGAUGCAACGCUCCAAUCAAUUGGCAAUCGCAUGCAUCAAACUGCAGUGUCAAAAGUAACUAAGACUUGCCUUAUUUGGAUAGCAAAAUCAAUUUCUCAAACCAUGUAUGUCAUGCCAACCUGCAUGAGAUGCGAGUGCGGAACACUCAAAUUCGCAACCCCUCUUCUGCAGUUCUUUCUCAGAAAAGCAUAGAAGUAAUUUAUGACUAGCUUCUUUAUAAACCAUGAAUCCUUCCUUGCCCUUAUAUCACCAUGACCAAGAAGAUAAACAACCCCAGAUUCUUUAGCCUUGCGUAUAAAAGAAAGCUCCCUUUCAAGGCUCUGUUCUGGAUCAGACAUCGUUGGGUCAGCAGAAGUCCCUAGUUUCACCUCCUCAGAGGUGCUUGCUUCAGAAAUGGGCUUGCUUGUAUCCCUGUAGUCAUCCAAGAGAGGCACACCAAGCGAGUAAACACUUCCAUUGGGAGCUAUUAGAACCCUGGUACAAGCAGACUCUUCUUCAGAGUCUGUAUCAUCAUCCCCGUCACUCUCCAAUGACCGUUCUUGGGCUUCCCGACGAAUAAACUUCUCAAGGCUCUCGAUUAAAAGCUGUUCAAAUGCCUGGUGAUUCUCUUUGCGGACGUCCUUGUAGCCAUACCUGGCAAUACAUCGAAAUAUGUGGUAGCUUUUAGGGCAAACUCGCCGGAAAAGGAACCUUUCACCCUGAGGCACUACUGGAACCGGAACAUACUUUAUACACACAAAUAUGAUCAUGGAGUGGAUUGCUGGGAGAGUGGUAAGAAAAUGGCCAAAUAUAGCAGGAAUUCCCUUCACCAGCUCAUUAUAGAGCAAGCCAAUUCCUGGCGCUCGGAUCGUCCCAAGGUUGGGGCCUAAUUCCCGCAUUAAAUCCAUCGACAGCUUUUUCUUAACCUCAGUUUCAUAUUUUAGCUUGCUCCCAUAGUUCCAAAUGUACAUUAUAAGAAACAUAAUUGCAGCAAAAACCAAUAUUAUCCAACUUCCAUCCCCCACAAGCGCUAAAACUGAUGAGAAAAAGGUCAGUUCUAUUCCUAGGAAAAUAACCACAAAACUGAGAACGAUAAUGAUGUUUAUCUGCCAUAUAAGAAGCAUAACAAUAGUUACUAAAACUGUUGUCAUCAUCAUCACCCCCAGCUCAGCAAUUCCUGUAAUAACCAAUCAACAUCAAAAGAUUAAUUUUUCACAUAAAUAGCAAAAGAAAAUAAGAGACAAGAAUUUAUUCAAAUACAAUAUCUCAACUCUACUGUGCAGCCAGUUUCAGCAUAAUUAAAAAAUCAUUUGACUAUUUGCCAAAAACAGAGCAGUUUGUUACUAUCUACCCUAGGCCUGGCCACUGGACUGGAACCAGUGGUUCAGGUCCUGGGGAGGGAGUGAACUGGAACCAGACUGAACCAGUCCAGUUCCAGCUGGUUCCGGCUCCUAACUGGUUUCCAGUACAAAAAUGCUUUGGUCCAUGUGUUGCUCUCUAAAGCUGCCACCUUUAUCUUUAAAAAAAAUUGCUUUGAUCCAGGCCAGAACCAGUGAUUCGAAACCACUGGGUCCAAUUUUUUUUUUAGGGGGGGGGGGUGGUGUGGUGGGGGUUGUGUUCCAGUUCAGGAACUUGAACAAUUGACCUUUUCUGAUUCCAGUCCACUUCAGUGCAUGAAAUGGCCGCUGGCCAGGUCUAAUAUAUACACUGUACACACAAAGCUAACUGAGGUAAAUAAAGGCUUUAAUGAAACCAUAUCCCCUUGAAAACCUUUGAUGCAGCAAUUAUCAUAAUGGAAUAUGCUAAACAAAUGGAUUGCAGUGUAACCCUGCAUUUGGUGCAAUGGAUGGGACAACAUGGAACAAACCAGAACACAAUAGUACUGGACAAGAUCAAAAAAUAGUUAUCCUGUUCAGUAUUUCAUAUACUCAAGAAAAAAAAAAGAUUAAUUUAUACAAAACAACUAUUGGCAUAUUAAAAAAAUAGCACAUAUAUAAGAUGACAUGUAAAUAUUUAUGUAAUAUUAAAUAAGAAAUUUUCAAAAAUUAUUUCAAUUUAUAAUUUAAAAAAAAAAUAUCUUUGUUAUUAUUCUCAAUACUGGAGAAACCUAGUCCCAGACAUGCAGUCAAUGUAAGUAUGGGUGUUCAAGGCUUGGCUAACCAACCCAGCACCCAUAUUUUAAACCUAACCGUUUGAAGCUAGGGAAAUUUAUUCAAAUAAACAGGCAAAUUAACUCUAGGACCAACGCUGAGGGAAAUGGAAGGAAGAGAGAAAGCAUAGCCUUACGUGUAGAUAGCGCAAGACAUAAUUUUGCUUGCACAAUGGCUACCAAAAAAAAAUUUACAGUCUGUUUACUUAUUUUUCAAAUAAAAUACUCUGACAUCAGCGGAUGUAAAGCAUUCUUCUGGCCUCAGACAAUCUUGAAUGGUUAGCAAAGGGCAGGGACUUGGAACUCAGAGAAGUGACACAAGGUGAUUGUUGCCAAAGGUGCUAGAUUCAAAUCAUAUCAAACAAUAAAACAAACUAAAAGAACUGUUUAGAGACUAACCUACCAAAAGAAAUAUAGAAGAAACUGCAUUUAGAACACUAUACAGGAUCAAAAUCAAAGUAGUUAGAAGUUUAUAUUCAACUGUGGAUUUGCAACUCAAGUGAAGUGCAAGGGAGAAUUUCUUAUAUUAGAAACCCCCUAAAAGUAGAAGCUUUAUAUUAAAAUAAUUUUUACAUCUAUCAUUUCAUCAGCUAUGAUAUGGCCAUAACAAGACUUAAAAAGAAAUUACAGGCAUCCUUUCCACUGUAAUUAGAAAAAUAUAUAAAUUCCAGGCGCACUUUGGUGAGAUAAUGCAAGGCUGGGCAUUUGACUAUUGGUUUGGCUGUCGAGGUCUGUGGAUGGGAGGAACUUCACAAUUUCGAGAAAAAGUAUACCAUCGGUGAAACAAAAAAUGGGAUUUAUAUAUAAGAAAACUUUACUAAAGACGAAGAAAGAAGAAUACAAAAUGAAUGCUAAGGUAUCCUCCUAACUUAACUGGAAUUUUAUGUAAUUUGUUCUCAUGGAUCCAUAUUUUCACAAAGGCAAAAUAAUCUGGAGCUUUUCACAGUUUCUUGAGUACUAGACUAGGAAAGAACAUCUUUUUCUCUAUCAGUGUUACUUUAUAUAUGAUUCCUGGUAACCUUUCUUGUGGCAUUCAAAUUAAAUUUGCUGUUUAUCAAUAAAAAGUGAUAAAUAAUAAAACACAACUUCAUAAAUUGAUAAAGAAGAAACAGACAUGAAGAUGCCAAAAUAAUUUCAACUAAAUCUAGGAAACAAGAAUUACCAUAUGCAUUUCCCAUCUCAGUAAUGCUAGAGAUAGAGCAGACGAAUACCAGGCAGACUACUAGCAAAAACCAGUUUAUUACAGGAAUAUAUAUCUGACCCAUGAAUUUUCGAGAUGUAUGAAUGAUUUUAAGACGGGGGAAACAACCAAGUGCAGUUGAUUGUUUUAUGCAAGAAAAAGUGGCUGUUGUCAUGGCUCGGCUGGCAAUCAAAGCAGCUAUAUUAGCAAUGAGGAAAACUGGCCAGAAAGCACCACUUGGAACUGAUGAAAAAAAUGCUUGCUCAGCCACAUCCCCUGUAUGAUUUUCCAUAAGGUAAGCAGCUUGACCCAAAUAACCCAAUAAAAGGCACGGCAAAACGAGAAAUACAAAUGUAAGCUGAAUUGAUCUGACAGAAAAGUAGCAAAGAUCUGCGAACAUUGCCUCAGAACCUGUUGCACAUAGGAGGCAACCUCCGAGGGCAUGCCAAGCCUUAGUAGAAUUCCGCUUGAAGAAGUAAUAGAUGUAAACAGGAUUAAAUGCCCUCACGACACUGCUGUCAUAUUUAACAAGGUUGUAUAUCCCAAUGCCCGCAAGAGAACAAAACCAUAUGAACAAAGCAGGGCCUACUCCAAGUCCCACUUUACUAGUUCCAAACUUCUGUACACUGAACAAAAUUACAAGAAAGGCAACUGAAAUCAUCUUCACUUGAUCUUGUUUGAUUGCAGCCACACCAACCUUUAGACCACCAACAGCUGACAUUACUGACAUCGCUGGUGUAACAACUCCAUCAGCAAUGACCAUAGAUGUACCAGCAAGCACUAAUAUCAGGAGUAACUUUUUCAGAGUCUGUGAAGUCUCAAGUCUUUCUUUGAUUUUGAGUGAUCUCUCAAGUUCAGCUGAUGGCACCUUGAGCCUGAAGCUUGAUAUACGGGCAUCUGAAGGAAGCUGAUUUGGGAGAAGACUGACCUUGGCAUGCCUACAAAUCAGUGAGUACAAGGCAAAAGUGCCACCUUCACCAUCAUCAUUGGCCCAAAGAACAACAAGGACAUAUUUGAUUAGGGGAAUCAAGAUUAAGGUAUAGAGGACCAGUGAUAAUGCACCAAGAACAUCUUCUUUUCCUUUAAUAGGCGCCUUUGUAAACAUCACAUCAAAGGCAUAUAAUGGACUUGUUCCAACAUCACCAAAGACAAUACCAAGUGUCUGAAAAGCAACUAUAAUUUUCCUUCCCACACUGAAGUCCUCGUAGUCAUUACGCUGAGCGCUGGGGAUCUCGAGAGCUUCAACAUCGAAGGAGUCGAUGCGAGGACCAGUACGGAUCAGACGCUGCUCAGCAUUAUCAUCAUCGUCAUCGGAAUCCAAAACAGUGCGGUGGUGAGCACCAUCCUCCUCCUCAUCUUCAUCGUCGUCGUCCAUAACGGAAUCAUCAUCGUCUUGGAAGACCCAACGCGACUCCACAGAGUCCAAAGACGCCAAUCUGCUGUUAAUAUCGGAUCCUCCACCGACACUGCUACCAGUGCCACCAUUCUCCUCUGCCAUCGUAGAGACAGAAGAAGAAAUCUAUAGGGAAAUGAGAUUUAUUUUUGUUGUUUCUAGGGUUUGGUGAUUUGCUUUUUGCUUCUGUGAAUGCGAAACUGAAUGAGAAGUGGAGAAUAGCAGAAAGGAAGGAAGGGCUUUUGGAGAUCACGCGGCGAAAAGAGAAGGAAGAAUUGGAUUGACAAUAAUGAACUAAAAAUAAACUGUAAUUGUUGAGUAACUAACAAAGAGCAAUCGUGCCUACGUUCAGUGGUCUGGUGACCGGUGAGCCUUGAGUGUGCUCGGUGUGAAUCUGGAUCUGUUAAUUGGGCGGGUU